GACGAACGCUGGCGGCGUGCUUAACACAUGCAAGUCGAACGGAAAGGCCCUGCUUUUGUGGGGUGCUCGAGUGGCGAACGGGUGAGUAACACGUGAGUAACCUGCCCUUGACUUUGGGAUAACUUCAGGAAACUGGGGCUAAUACCGGAUAGGAGCUCCUGCUGCAUGGUGGGGGUUGGAAAGUUUCGGCGGUUGGGGAUUGACUCGCGGCUUAUCAGCUUGUUGGUGGGGUAGUGGCUUACCAAGGCUUUGACGGGUAGCCGGCCUGAGAGGGUGACCGGCCACAUUGGGACUGAGAUACGGCCCAGACUCCUACGGGAGGCAGCAGUGGGGAAUAUUGCACAAUGGGCGGAAGCCUGAUGCAGCAACGCCGCGUGCGGGAUGACGGCCUUCGGGUUGUAAACCGCUUUCGCCUGUGACGAAGCGUGAGUGACGGUAAUGGGUAAAGAAGCACCGGCUAACUACGUG
This 468-nucleotide ribosomal RNA is filed under the name uncultured bacterium. Its description in RNAcentral is "partial 16S ribosomal RNA". It matches the Rfam family "Bacterial small subunit ribosomal RNA", at positions 28 to 507 of the family's 1533-position model. The record is from RNAcentral.